AUGAGCCGAAAACUUUUCCUUAGGAUUGUGAAUUUCAUCCGGAAGUUCGACAACUACUUCAAGUGCAAGAAGGAUUGCACUGACACACUUGGAUUCACCUCAAUCCAGAAGUGCACGACGGCUAUGAGGAUGCUUGCAUACGGAGCUCCCGGUGAUUCACUCGACGACUAUGGGUGCAUGGUCGAGUCAACGACCAUUGAGUGUUUCUACAAGUUCUGCAGGGCAGUGGUGGCAGUGCUUGAACCGCAAUACUUGCGAUCACCCAAUGCUGAAGACACUGCUCGGAUCCUAGCACAGAAUGCAGCAAGAGGAUUUCCUGAGAUGCUUGGAAGCAUCGACUUCAUGCAUUGGAAAUGA
This 357-nucleotide ribosomal RNA is filed under the name Triticum aestivum (bread wheat). RNAcentral's name for it is "partial small subunit ribosomal RNA". Lineage: Eukaryota; Viridiplantae; Streptophyta; Magnoliopsida; Poales; Poaceae. The record is from RNAcentral.